GACAGAGGCCUCAAGCGUUAGGCGGAAUCACUGGGCUUAAAGCGUGUGUAGGCGGGUCGUUAAGUACCUUGUGAAAUCCCACGGCUCACCCGUGGAACUGCUGGGUAUACUGGCGAUCUUGGGCCAUUCAGGGGCAACUGGAACAAGCGGUGGAGCGGUGAAAUGCGUAGAGAUGUGGAGGAAUACCGAUGGCGAAGGCAGCCCCCUGGGCCAAUACUGACGCUCAUGCACGAAAGCGUGGGGAGCAAACAGG
RNAcentral lists this ribosomal RNA (253 nucleotides) under uncultured bacterium. RNAcentral describes it as "partial 16S ribosomal RNA". It matches the Rfam family "Bacterial small subunit ribosomal RNA", at positions 524 to 776 of the family's 1533-position model. The record is from RNAcentral.